Phrynosoma platyrhinos (Desert horned lizard) is the source of this 71-nucleotide non-coding RNA. Lineage: Eukaryota; Metazoa; Chordata; Lepidosauria; Squamata; Phrynosomatidae. The record is from the annotation of a GenBank genome assembly.
GCCAAUGUGGUGUAAUGGCUUAAGCACUGGACUAGGAUUCUGUAGACCAGGGUUCAAUUCCCAGCUUGACC